This 22-nucleotide small nuclear RNA is filed under the name Arabidopsis thaliana (thale cress). RNAcentral describes it as "snRNA_09327". The record is from RNAcentral. Lineage: Eukaryota; Viridiplantae; Streptophyta; Magnoliopsida; Brassicales; Brassicaceae.
AAUAACAGUGGAUUAGUGUUGG